GGUAUCGCCGUUAGUCAUGUGCAAAUAUGGAUAGCUGUUUUAGCCGUCUUUAUUGACUGGUUUAUAAGAGUUAUCAGAUAUUACUUUGAUUAAAUUAGAGUGCUUAAAGCAAGUGUGUUACUUGGAUAUAAAUGCAUGGAAUGAUGGAAUAUGUUGUUAUUCUAUUUGUUGGUUUUUGAAUGAUAAAAUGAUUGAAAGGAACUGUUGGGGGCAUUCGUAUUGUUGUGAGAGAGGUGAAAUUCUUAGACCACAGCAAGACGAACUACUGCGAAAGCAUUUGCCAAGAAUGUUUUCAUUGAUCAAGAACGAAAGUUAGAGGUUCGAAGGCGAUCAGAUACCGCCCUAGUUCUAACCAUAAACUAUGCCAACUAGCAAUUUGCUUUGUAUUUUUUAUGACUAAGUGAGAGGCCACGGGAAACCUAAGUAGGGUUAUGGGGGAAGUAUGGUUGCAAAGCCGAAACUUAAAGGAAUUGACGGAAGGGCACCACCAGGAGUGGAGCCUGCGGCUUAAUUUGACUCAACACGGGAAAACUUACCUGGUCCUGACACUAGAAGGAUUGACAGAUUGAUAGCUCUUUCUUAAUUUGGUGGAUGGUGGUGCAUGGCCGUUUUUAGUUGGUGGAGUGAUUUGUCUGGUUAAUUCCGAUAACGAACGAGACUCUAGCCUAUUAAAUAAUACACGGAAUUUUAUCUUCCGCGGUAUUUCUUAGUGGGAUCAAGCG
This 722-nucleotide ribosomal RNA is filed under the name uncultured eukaryote. RNAcentral describes it as "SSU rRNA". It matches the Rfam family "Eukaryotic small subunit ribosomal RNA", at positions 672 to 1426 of the family's 1831-position model. The record is from RNAcentral.